This 497-nucleotide ribosomal RNA is filed under the name uncultured bacterium. Its description in RNAcentral is "partial 16S ribosomal RNA". It matches the Rfam family "Bacterial small subunit ribosomal RNA", at positions 28 to 507 of the family's 1533-position model. The record is from RNAcentral.
GACGAACGCUGGCGGCGUGCCUAAUACAUGCAAGUUGAGCGCUGAAGGUUGGUACUUGUACCGACUGGCUGAGCAGCGAACGGGUGAGUAACGCGUGGGGAAUCUGCCUUUGAGCGGGGGACAACAUUUGGAAACGAAUGCUAAUACCGCAUAAAAACUUUAAACACAAGUUUUAAGUUUGAAAGAUGCAAUUGCAUCACUCAAAGAUGAUCCCGCGUUGUAUUAGCUAGUUGGUGAGGUAAAGGCUCACCAAGGCGAUGAUACAUAGCCGACCUGAGAGGGUGAUCGGCCACAUUGGGACUGAGACACGGCCCAAACGACUACGGGAGGCAGCAGUAGGGAAUCUUCGGCAAUGGACGAAAGUCUGACCGAGCAACGCCGCGGGAGUGAAGAAGGGUUUCGGAUCGUAAAACUCUGUUGGUAGAGAAGAACGUUGGUGAGAGUGGAAAGCUCAUAAAGUGACGGUAACUACCCAGAAAGGGACGGCUAACUACGUG